RNAcentral lists this ribosomal RNA (541 nucleotides) under Ameletus sp. MT-2021. Its description in RNAcentral is "partial 12S ribosomal RNA". The record is from RNAcentral. Lineage: Eukaryota; Metazoa; Arthropoda; Insecta; Ephemeroptera; Ameletidae.
UACGAAGAGUGUGAAAGAAUAUGAUUGGGAUAAAGUUAAACAUUUCAAGUUAAGAAUAAAGUUAUUAUUAAGUGAAAUUUUAAUAAAUUAGUCAAUAGAAGAUAUUAAUGAAGCUUUGAAAUUUAGGUUGUAAACUAGGAUUAGAUACCCUAUUAUUCUAAGUGUUGAUGAAUACCCCGAGUAGUAAUAGUUAUGUACUUGAAACUCAAAGAAUUUGGCGGUGUUUUAGUCUUUUCAGAGGAACCUGUCCCAUAAUCGAUAAUCCUCGUUUUACUUUACUUGGUUUGGUUAACAGCUUGUAUACCGCCGUCAUAAGGGUAUUUUUAUAAACAAUACCCAGAAUUUAAAAUUAAAAAAGAUGUCAGGUCAAGGUGCAGCUUAUAAUCAAGUGGUGGUGGGUUACAUUGUAUUUAUGCAAACGAAUUGAGAAUUGAAAUGAAUCAUGAAGGAGGAUUUGAUAGUAAUUAAAAAGAUAGUAUUAUAGUGAUAUCGGCUCUAAAACAUGCACACAUCGCCCGUCGCUCUCGUUUAUUAAGGCGAG